RNAcentral lists this ribosomal RNA (488 nucleotides) under uncultured bacterium. RNAcentral describes it as "bacterial SSU rRNA". It matches the Rfam family "Bacterial small subunit ribosomal RNA", at positions 8 to 518 of the family's 1533-position model. The record is from RNAcentral.
AGAGUUUGAUCCUGGCUUAGGACGAACGCUGGCGGCGUGCUUAACACAUGCAAGUCGAACGGUCGUAGCAAUACGAUAGUGGCGGACGGGUGAGUAACACGUGAGCAAUCUGCCUUUUACAGGGGGAUAACACUGAGAAAUCAGUGCUAAUACCGCAUAAGACCACAGUGCCGCAUGGUACAGGGGUAAAAGGGAUACCGGUAAAAGAUGAGCUCGCGUCCCAUUAGGUAGUUGGAGGGGUAACGGCCCACCAAGCCGACGAUGGGUAGCCGACCUGAGAGGGUGAUCGGCCACACUGGAACUGAGAUACGGUCCAGACUCCUACGGGAGGCAGCAGGUGGGGAAUAUUGGGCAAUGGAGGAAACUCUGAACCCCAGCAACGCCGCGUGAAUGAAGAAGGUCUUCGGAUUGUAAAGUUCUGUGGAUAGGGAAGAAAAAAUGACGGUACCUAUAGAGCAAGCCACGGCAAACUACGUGCCAGCCGCCGC